RNAcentral lists this transfer RNA (70 nucleotides) under Nipponacmea nigrans. RNAcentral describes it as "tRNA-Asn". Lineage: Eukaryota; Metazoa; Mollusca; Gastropoda; Lottiidae. The record is from RNAcentral.
UGGGUUAGAGCCAUAGAAGAGGCUUCCGCUUGUUAAGCGGACGAUUGGGGAUUAAGAGCCCCUAACCCAG